This 450-nucleotide ribosomal RNA is filed under the name Triticum aestivum (bread wheat). Its description in RNAcentral is "partial small subunit ribosomal RNA". The record is from RNAcentral. Lineage: Eukaryota; Viridiplantae; Streptophyta; Magnoliopsida; Poales; Poaceae.
GCCGUCCGCGCGACGUCUACCCCCGCCGGCCGCUACCCCUACCACCUACCCCGCGCCGGUCCCCGUGCUCUACCACUCCCUAAUCCGCCGCUGGCCUCGGCUCCCUCUUCCACCCCGCACCCCGCUGCCGGCCUCGGCUCCCUCUUCCACUCCGCACCCCCUGCUGGCCUCGGCCCCCAUCUUCCACCCCGUGCCCCGCCGCCGGCCUCGGUCCCUCUUCCACCCCGCGGCCCGGUGCCAGCCUAGAUCCCCUCUUCCACCCCGUGCUCCGCCGCUGGCCUCGGUCCCCUCUGCCACCCCGAGCCGCGCCGCCGGCCUCGGUCCCCUCUUCCACCCCGCGUUCCGCUGCCGGCUUCGGUCCCUCUCCUCCACCUCCGCCUCGCCGGUGUGGCCUCUACAGAGAAAAAACCCCUUUGUCCUUGCCCGAGCCCGCGCUCUCAUUGUCUUAUC